CCUACGGGCGGCAGCAGUGAGGAAUAUUGGUCAAUGGACGAGAGUCUGAACCAGCCAAGCAGCGUGAAGGAUGACUGCCCUCUGGGUUGUAAACUCUUUCUAUAUGGGAAUAAUAUGUUCCAUGCGUGGGACUUUGUAUGUACCACAUGAAUAAGGAUCCGCUAAAUCCGUGCCAGCAGCCGCGGUAAUACGGAGGACCCGAGCGUUAUCCGGAUUUAUUGGGUUUAAAGGGAGCGUAGGUGGAUUGUUAAGUCAGUUGUGAAAGUUUGCGGCUCAACCGUAAAAUUGCAGUUGAAACUGGCAGUCUUGAGUACAGUAGAGGUGGGCGGAAUUCGUGGUGUAGCGGUGAAAUGCUUAGAUAUCACGAAGAACUCCGAUUGCGAAGGCAGCUCACUGGACUGCAACUGACACUGAGGCUCGAAAGUGUGGGUAUCAAACAGGAUUAGAUACCCCAGUAGUC
This 460-nucleotide ribosomal RNA is filed under the name uncultured bacterium. RNAcentral describes it as "partial 16S ribosomal RNA". It matches the Rfam family "Bacterial small subunit ribosomal RNA", at positions 338 to 795 of the family's 1533-position model. The record is from RNAcentral.